GAUGAACGCUGGCGGCGUGCCUAAUACAUGCAAGUCGAGCGAACAGACGAGGAGCUUGCUCCUCUGUCGUUAGCGGCGGACGGGUGAGUAACACGUGGAUAACCUACCUAUAAGACUGGGAUAACUUCGGGAAACCGGAGCUAAUACCGGAUAAUAUAUUGAACCGCAUGGUUCAAUAGUGAAAGACGGUUUUGCUGUCACUUAUAGAUGGAUCCGCGCCGCAUUAGCUAGUUGGUAAGGUAACGGCUUACCAAGGCGACGAUGCGUAGCCGACCUGAGAGGGUGAUCGGCCACACUGGAACUGAGACACGGUCCAGACUCCUACGGGAGGCAGCAGUAGGGAAUCUUCCGCAAUGGGCGAAAGCCUGACGGAGCAACGCCGCGUGAGUGAUGAAGGUCUUCGGAUCGUAAAACUCUGUUAUUAGGGAAGAACAAAUGUGUAAGUAACUAUGCACGUCUUGACGGUACCUAAUCAGAAAGCCACGGCUAACUACGU
Molecule: ribosomal RNA, 496 nt
Filed under: uncultured bacterium
Lineage: Bacteria
Description: partial 16S ribosomal RNA
Rfam family: Bacterial small subunit ribosomal RNA
Source: RNAcentral